AGAGAGAGACAUGCGCGCAUAUCAAUAAGCGGAGGAAAAGAAACUAACAAGGAUCCCUUAGUAACGGCGAGUGAAGCGGGAAGAGCUCAAAUUUGAAAUCUUCAAGGUUUUACCUUGACGAAUUGUAGUUUAAAGAAGUGUUUUCUGCUGAAGUUUUGGUAAAAGUUCUUUGGAAUAGGACAUCAUAGAGGGUGAGAAUCCCGUAUUUGACCAUUAUUUUCAGCUUUGUGAUACACUUUCAAAGAGUCGGAUUGUUUGGGAAUGCAGUCCAAAGAUGGGUGGUAAAUUUCAUCUAAAGCUAAAUAUUGGCGAGAGACCGAUAGCGAACAAGUACCGUGAGGGAAAGAUGAAAAGAACUUUGAAAAGAGAGUUAAACAGUACGUGAAAUUGUCAAAAGGGAAGCGUUUGACACCAGUGUUGUUUUCUCGAAAAUCAAUUAAAAAUGGCUCGAUUUUGUAUUGCUGAGACCUUAAAAGCUCACUGUACAUUUUUCGUAUCUUUUUUAAUGCACUUUUCGUUUAACAAGUCAACAUCAGUUUCUUUUGUUGUAAAAGGGUCAUUGGAAGGUGGCUUUCUUUUCGGAGAAAGUGUUUAUAGCCUUUGGCCUCUGCAAUCGAAGAGACUGAGGUCUGCAGCGUAGACUCUUCGGGGUUAGAUACAUUUGUGCUAAGUUAUAGCUUUUUAUAGACAACUUGUUGACUAUAAUUAGUCUUGUAGCUUACUCGCUUAUGCUAUUUUACCUACGCUUAGGAUGUUGAAGAUGUAGCACAUCAU
RNAcentral lists this ribosomal RNA (774 nucleotides) under uncultured Neocallimastigales. RNAcentral describes it as "partial large subunit ribosomal RNA". It matches the Rfam family "Eukaryotic large subunit ribosomal RNA", at positions 23 to 634 of the family's 3401-position model. Lineage: Eukaryota; Fungi; Neocallimastigomycota; Neocallimastigomycetes; Neocallimastigales. The record is from RNAcentral.